RNAcentral lists this unclassified non-coding RNA (387 nucleotides) under soil metagenome. RNAcentral describes it as "partial contains 5.8S ribosomal RNA, internal transcribed spacer 2, and large subunit ribosomal RNA". The stretch from base 1 to 120 matches the Rfam family "5.8S ribosomal RNA", at positions 35 to 154 of the family's 154-position model. The record is from RNAcentral.
GAUGAAGAACGUAGCGAAAUGCGAUAAGUAAUGUGAAUUGCAGAAUUCAGUGAAUCAUCGAAUCUUUGAACGCACCUUGCACCCUUUGGUAUUCCGAAGGGUAUGCUCGUUUGAGUGUCAUUGUACUCUCACACUUCUAAUUCCUUUCGGGAUUGGGAGCGGUGGACUUGGGUGUUGCUGCUUUAGUUGUGGCUCACCUCAAAUAAGUUAGUGCAACUCUUGGUUGGACAUAGUACGGCGUGAUAAGUGUCUUCGCCGGCGCCUCUGUAAGGAGGUUGGCCGAUCGGGAGCUCUGUGCUUCAAACCGUCUUCGGACAAUCUUUGACAACUUGACCUCAAAUCGAGUAGGACUACCCGCUGAACUUAAGCAUAUCAAUAAGCGGAGGA